AUACGGAGGGGGCUAGCGUUGUUCGGAAUUACUGGGCGUAAAGCGCGCGUAGGCGGACCAGUCAGUCAGGGGUGAAAUCCCGGGGCUCAACCCCGGAACUGCCUUUGAUACUGCUGGUCUUGAGUUCGAGAGAGGUGAGUGGAAUUCCGAGUGUAGGGGUGAAAUUCGUAGAUAUUCGGAGGAACACCAGUGGCGAAGGCGGCUCACUGGCUCGAUACUGACGCUGAGGUGCGAAAGCGUGGGGAGCAAACAGGAUUAGAAACCCUAGUAGUCC
This 274-nucleotide ribosomal RNA is filed under the name uncultured bacterium. RNAcentral describes it as "partial 16S ribosomal RNA". It matches the Rfam family "Bacterial small subunit ribosomal RNA", at positions 523 to 796 of the family's 1533-position model. The record is from RNAcentral.